Solanum stenotomum is the source of this 1131-nucleotide long non-coding RNA. RefSeq lists it as uncharacterized. The transcript is spliced from 4 exons. The record is from RefSeq and is a predicted model, not a curated record. NCBI's taxonomy places the organism in Eukaryota, Viridiplantae, Streptophyta, Magnoliopsida, Solanales, Solanaceae.
AGUUUUUGGCUCAAAAUUAGAGUCUCUUAGCAUGAGAUUUUUCAAGAUUCAUGUAUUUAAAUGAUUCUUCAUAUGAAUGUCACGGGGGAAGUAAGUUUUUUCAGACUGCCAAGCUCCCAAUCGUUGAAGUUUCUCUUGAAAAGUAGAUUCCAUUGAUUGUCCUCUCUGUUCUGUAGAGUCAGGAUCACGUGAACUACUCAAUAAAAAAUUGAGGAUUUCUCUUUGUCUAAAGGCAAAUCAGAUCAAUCGAGGGUUUCUCUUUGCACAACUUUCAGAUGAAUUCCAAAUUCUGAAGAGUUUCUACUUUAUCAGCACUUCAACACUUUGUCAAUUUUACUUCAGCCAGAAUCAUCCUCGACAUCUCAUCUCGCUUCAUUGACUCUGUGGUAGGGGGUUCCGAGUACCCAGGGAAGUUGACACGUUAUGUGGCACUUACUUGAAUUAUGGUUGCAAUGGGAGUGUUGAUCUUUGGUUAUGACAUUGGAAUUUCAGGGAGAGUUACUUCUAUGGAUCAUUUUCUCAAACUCUUCUUCCCUUCUCUUUAUCGCAAAGAGGCUCUAGACACCUCCACCAAUCAGUAGUGCAAGUUCAACAGCCAGUUGUUCACCCUUUUCAGCUCUUCUCUAUGUGGCUGCCCUCAUCGCCUCUGGUCUUUAUGAAGUUUUGAUCAGUAUCUUAUGUUGUCUUAAGAAUGCACUGCCUUCAAGAUGGAUUAUCUUUGCAAGUGAUUCUUUGUUUCUUUUAGAUGUCUCGUCUUUAAAAUGUUGAAAUUUAUAAAGAGUUGUCUUCCGGUAGUCCAUUUAUACCUAAAGAGUUGUAUCUCCAAUGUAACCUAGUAUGGUAUGCAACAGGAGGGGUCUCUGUUGUUGCUGCUGCUAAUGUGUGUCAAAAAGUGAUGGGAAUGGAGACAAGUUAAACAUUGUUGCUUCAGCCAUUUGAGCAGCACUGCUGCCUUCAGAUGCUUAGGGAUUUUUCAUUGAAGAUUUAUGACAAGAGAGCUUCAAUUUAUGGUUGGUUCCGGUGAAAAUGAUCAAACUUCCUCUUCUAAAUCCUGAUUAGGGUUCUAAUAAGCAUCUAACUGUAGUUUUUCAAAAGUUUUUUUUGCCUAAUUCAUAGUUACUUUAACAUUUU